UGAGCUGGGUGGGGCCGCAGAGACCAGUGAGAAGCGACUGUUUACUAAAAACACAGGUCCGUGCGAAGUCGUAAGACGAUGUAUACGGACUGACGCCUGCCCGGUGCUGGAAGGUUAAGAGGACCGGUUAGCCAGUAAUGGCGAAGCUGAGAAUUUAAGCCCCAGUAAACGGCGGUGGUAACUAUAACCAUCCUAAGGUAGCGAAAUUCCUUGUCGGGUAAGUUCCGACCUGCACGAAUGGCGUAACGACUUCUCAGCUGUCUCAACCAUAGACUCGGCGAAAUUGCAUUACGAGUAAAGAUGCUCGUUACGCGCGGCAGGACGAAAAGACCCCGGGACCUUCACUACAGCUUGGUAUUGGUGUUCGGUUCGGUUUGUGUAGGAUAGGUGGGAGACUGUGAAGCGGUGACGCCAGUUACUGUGGAGUCGUUGUUGAAAUACCACUCUGAUCGUAUUGGAUACCUCAACCUCGGACCAUGAUCUGGUUCAGGGACAGUGCCUGGUGGGUAGUUUAACUGGGGCGGUUGCCUCCUAAAAUGUAACGGAGGCGCCCAAAGGUUCCCUCAGCCUGGUUGGCAAUCAGGUGUCGAGUGCAAGUGCACAAGGGAGCUUGACUGUGAGACUGACAAGUCGAGCAGGGACGAAAGUCGGGACUAGUGAUCCGGCACCGGCAAGUGGAAGCGGUGUCGCUCAACGGAUAAAAGGUACCCCGGGGAUAACAGGCUGAUCUUCCCCAAGAGUCCAUAUCGACGGGAUGGUUUGGCACCUCGAUGUCGGCUCGUCGCAUCCUGGGGCUGGAGUAGGUCCCAAGGGUUGGGCUGUUCGCCCAUUAAAGCGGCACGCGAGCUGGGUUUAGAACGUCGUGAGACAGUUCGGUCUCUAUCCGCCGCGCGCGUAAGAAACUUGAGGAAGGCUGUCCCUAGUACGAGAGGACCGGGACGGACGAACCUCUGGUGUGCCAGUUGUUCCACCAGGAGCACCGCUGGUUGGCUACGUUCGGAAGGGAUAACCGCUGAAAGCAUCUAAGCGGGAAGCCUGUUCCAAGAUGAGGUUUCUCACCCCCUCGAGGGGGUAAGGCCCCCGGCAGACCACCGGGUUGAUAGGCCAGAACUGGAAGUCGGGUAACCGAUGCAGGUGACUGGUACUAAUAGGCCGAGGACUUACCACA
Molecule: ribosomal RNA, 1168 nt
Filed under: Rhodococcoides fascians A76
Lineage: Bacteria; Bacillati; Actinomycetota; Actinomycetes; Mycobacteriales; Nocardiaceae
Description: bacterial LSU rRNA
Rfam family: Bacterial large subunit ribosomal RNA
Source: RNAcentral